RNAcentral lists this ribosomal RNA (423 nucleotides) under uncultured Glomeraceae. Its description in RNAcentral is "SSU rRNA". It matches the Rfam family "Eukaryotic small subunit ribosomal RNA", at positions 459 to 886 of the family's 1831-position model. The record is from RNAcentral. Lineage: Eukaryota; Fungi; Glomeromycota; Glomeromycetes; Glomerales; Glomeraceae.
GGGAGGUAGUGACAAUAAAUAACAAUACAGGGUUCUUUAGGAUCUUGUAAUUGGAAUGAGUACAAUUUAAAUCUCUUAACGAGGAACAAUUGGAGGGCAAGUCUGGUGCCAGCAGCCGCGGUAAUUCCAGCUCCAAUAGCGUAUAUUAAAGUUGUUGCAGUUAAAAAGCUCGUAGUUGAACCUCGGGAUCAAUGGAUCGGUCAUGCCAUCGGUAUGUACUGGUCUCAUUGGUUCUCACCUUCUAAGGAACCAUGAUGUCAUUCAUUUGAUGUUGUGGGGAAUUAGGACUGUUACCUUGAAAAAAUUAGAGUGUUUAAAGCAGGCUAACGCUUGAAUACAUUAGCAUGGAAUAAUAAAAUAGGACGGAUGGUUCUAUUUUGUUGGUUUCUAGGAUCGAUGUAAUGAUUAAUAGGGAUAGUUGGG